RNAcentral lists this ribosomal RNA (373 nucleotides) under uncultured organism. RNAcentral's name for it is "partial 16S ribosomal RNA". It matches the Rfam family "Bacterial small subunit ribosomal RNA", at positions 527 to 896 of the family's 1533-position model. The record is from RNAcentral.
GUAGGUGGCAAGCGUUGUCCGGAAUUAUUGGGCGUAAAGCGCGCGCAGGUGGUUCUUUAAGUCUGAUGUGAAAGCCCCCGGCUCAACCGGGAGGGUCAUUGGAAACUGGGGAACUUGAGUGCAGGAGAGGAAAGUGGAAUUCCACGUGUAGCGGUGAAAUGCGUAGAUAUGUGGAGGAACACCAGUGGCGAAGGCGACUUUCUGGCCUGUAACUGACACUGAGGCGCGAAAGCGUGGGGAGCAAACAGGGAUUAGAUACCCUGGUAGUCCACGCCGUAAACGAUGAGUGCUAAGUGUUGGGGGGGUUUCCCGCCCCUCAGUGCUGCAGCUAACGCAUUAAGCACUCCGCCUGGGGAGUACGGUCGCAAGACUG